RNAcentral lists this long non-coding RNA (2570 nucleotides) under Zea mays. RNAcentral's name for it is "long non-coding RNA (ZMAY_LNC005839)". Lineage: Eukaryota; Viridiplantae; Streptophyta; Magnoliopsida; Poales; Poaceae. The record is from RNAcentral.
UCCGUAGGUGUUAGCCUUCUGUAUUAUUGAAAAUGGUCGUUCAUGGCUAUUUUCGACAAAAAUGGGGGUUGUGUGGCCAUUGAUCAUCGACCAGACGCUCAUACACCUCACCCCACAUAUGUUUCCUUGUCGUAGAUCACAUUCUUGGAUUUCUGGUGGAGACCAUUUCUUGGUCAAAAAUCCGUAGGUCUUAGCCUCUAAUAUUAUUGAAAAUGGUCGCUCAUGGCUAUUUUCAUAAAAAAUGGGGGUUGUGUGGCCAUUUAUCAUCGACUAGAGGCUCAUAAAUCUCACCCCACAUAUGUUUCCUUGCCAUAGAUCACAUUCUUGGAUUUCUGGUGGAGACCAUUUCUUGGUCAAAAAUCCGUAGGUGUUAGCCUUCGGUAUUAUUGUAAAUGGUCAUUCAUGGCUAUUUUCGGCAAAAUGGACCAUUUCUUGGUCAAAAAUCCGUAGGUGUUAGCCUUCGGUAUUAUUGAAAAUGGUCGUUCAUGGCUAUUUUGACAAAAAUGGGGGUUGUGUGGCCAUUGAUCAUCGACUAGAGGCUCAUACACCUCACCCCACAUAUGUUUCCUUGCCAUAGAUCACAUUCUUGGAUUUCUGGUGGAGACCAUUUCUUGGUCAAAAAUCCGUAGGUGUUAGCCUUCGGUAUUAUUGUAAAUGGUCAUUCAUGGCUAUUUUCGGCAAAAUGGGGGUUCUGUGGCCAUUGAUCAUCGACCAGAGGCUCGUACACCUCACCCCACAUAUGUUUCCUUGCCAUAGAUCACAUUCUUGGAUUUCUGGUGGAGACCAUUUCUUGGUCAAAAAUCCGUAGGUGUUAGCCUUUGGUAUUUUUGAAAAUGGUCGUUCAUGGCUAUUUUCGGCAAAAUGGGGGUUGUGCGGCCAUUGAUCGUCGACUAGAGGCUCAUACACCUCACCCCACAUAUGUUUCCUUGCCAUAGAUCACAUUCUUGGAUUUAUGGUGGAGACCAUUUCUUGGUCAAAAAUUUGUAGGUGUUAGCCUUCAGUGUCAUUGAAAAUGGUCGUUCAUGGCUAUUUUCGACAAAAAUUAGGGUUGUGUGGCCAUUGAUCGUCGACCAGAGGCUCAUACACCUCACCCCACAUAUGUUUCCUUGCCAUAGAUCACAUUCUUGGAUUUCUGGUGGAGACCAUUUCUUGGUCAAAAAUCCGUAGGUGUUAGCCUUCGGUAUUAUUGAAAAUGGUCGUUCAUGGCUAUUUUCGACAAAAAUGGGGGUUGUGUGGCCAUUGAUCAUCGACCAGAGGCUCAUACACCUCACCCCACAUAUGUUUCCUUGCCAUAGAUCACAUUCUUGGAUUUCUGGUGGAGACCAUUUCUUGGUCAAAAAUUCGUAGGUCUUAGCCUUCGGUAUUAUUGAAAAUGGUCAUUCAUGGCUAUUUUCGGCAAAAUGGGGGUUGUGUGGCCAUUGAUCAUCGACCAUAGGCUCAUACACCUCACCCCACAUAUGUUUCCUUGCCAUAGAUCACAUUCUUGGAUUUCUGGUGGAGACCAUUUCUUGGUCAAAAAUCCGUAGGUGUUAGCCUUCGGUAUUAUUGUAAAUGGUCAUUCAUGGCUAUUUUCGACAAAAAUGGGGGUUGUGUGGCCAUUAAUCAUCGACCAGAGGCUCAUAAAAAAUGGGGGUUGUGUGGCCAUUUAUCAUCGACUAGAGGCUCAUAAACCUCACCCCACAUAUGUUUCCUUGCCAUAGAUCACAUUCUUGGAUUUCUGGUGGAGACCAUUUCUUGGACAAAAAUCCGUAGGUCUUAGCCUCUAGUAUUAUUGAAAAUGGUCGCUGUUAGCCUUCGGUAUUAUUGAAAAUGGUCAUUCAUGGCUAUUUUCGACAAAAAUGGGGGUUGUGUGGCCAUUGAUCAUCGACUAGAGGCUCAUACACCUCACUACACAUAUGUUUCCUUGCCAUAGAUCACAUUCUUGGAUUUCUGGUGGAGACCAUUUCUUGGUCUAAAAUCCGUAGGUGUUAGCCUCUAGUAUUAUUGAAAAUGGUCGCUCAUGGCUAUUUUCAAGGUCGCUCAUGGCUAUUUUCAUAAAAAAUGGGGGUUGUGUGGCCAUUUAUCAUCGACUAGAGGCUCAUAAACCUCACCCCACAUAUGUUUCCUUGCCAUAGAUUACAUUCUUGGAUUUCUGGUGGAAACCAUUUCUUGGUUAAAAACUCGUACGUGUUAGCCUUCGGUAUUAUUGAAAAUGGUCGUUCAUGGCUAUUUUCAAGGUCGCUCAUGGCUAUUUUCAAGGUCGCUCAUGGCUAUUUUCAUAAAAAAUGGGGGUUGUGUGGCCAUUGAUCGUCGACCAGAGGCUCAUACACCUCACCCCACAUAUGUUUCCUUGCCAUAGAUCACAUUCUUGGAUUUCUGGUGGAGACCAUUUCUUGGUCAAAAAUCCGAAUGUGUUAGCCUCCGGUAUUUUUGAAAAUGGUCAUUCAUGGCUAUUUUCGACAAAAAUGGGGGUUGUGUGGCCAUUGAUCAUCGACCAGACGCUCAUACACCUCACCCCACAUAUGUUUCCUUGCCAUAGAUCACAUUCUUGGAUUUAUGGUGGAGACCAUUUCUUGGUCAAAAAUCCGUAG